Molecule: ribosomal RNA, 112 nt
Filed under: Orchesella cincta
Lineage: Eukaryota; Metazoa; Arthropoda; Collembola; Entomobryomorpha; Orchesellidae
Source: RNAcentral
GCCAAACGCCAUAUCACGUUGAAAACAGCAGUUCUUGUCCGAUCACUGAAGUUAAGCAAGCGGGCCCGGUUAUAAUUUGGAUGGGUGAUCUCCUUCCAAGGUGCUGUUGGUA